CCAUAUUGUCCAAAGUCAAAACAUGCGGUUUUUGUGUUCGCGCAUCAAGUUGGGAAAAGGCCAAAAACAGAGAAACAUAGGAUACAGAGGGCUCGAUUUAUUUGUACAAAAUGACUUUGCAAAUGAGAUUCGGAUUCGGAUACACAUAGGCCUGAGCAAUGUGUCAAUAUUAUCAUGGGCCAGGGAUUCAGACGUCGUCCAGGCGGCCGCCUAUGCAAACAGCCGAACAGACCUACAAAAAUUGAGCCUCGGACUACCUGCUGGGACAUCGCGGCUCAGUGUCCAUGUCGUAGGUGUGCAUAUUUCUGUUAAUUUCCAACACCUUCGGCACUCGAAUAUGUCGGGCUCGCAACGUGACCUGUGGCCUCUGGGCUGGAUUUGCUUUAUGAAUGGGUGUCCACAACCUGCCAAUGGCCACAUGUACUCAUAAUCGAUGUGAUUAGGCCGUGCCGUGCCGUGGACGUGGACCAUCUCAUGCCUAACCCUUGGGGAACCAUAGACAAGACGAGAGCGCAAUCAAUAGUUCUCAAUCGAGCAGCACAGGGAAUUCGGUGACGUAUUUGGACAGCCACUGACAGAGCAAGCAGCAGGCCCAAAAGAAACAACCAAGUUCAGUUUGGGAAUUUCUUAGCUGGAUUCUAGAUGCUCUUCUCCAAAUGACCAAGAUAUGUUUCACUAAAAUCAUAGGGUGCUCUAGUAGCUUUAGCUGGAUUAAAGGAAAAGUUAUAUAUAGCAGAGUACAGCAUCGUCUUGGUCCAAAAAUAACUGCAUGACUUGGCGAUAAAUUAUUGUUGGGCAGCGCAAGCCCAAAGGCAAGAGUUAGAGAAGGAAAUGAGCUGCACUUAAAUGCAUGCGAGAAAACCACUCGAUAAGCCAACAAGUGGAUAAGAAGCCACCACACAAAUGAUGCCCAAACGAACUAUCAAUGUCAGUGAAUUGGCAAAAAAUGUAAACUCAAUUUGUAUGCAGGCCAGAGUCCGGUCCGAAUCGACGACAAGGAAACCCUUUACUUGACACACCUCAACAACCGAACGACGACGACCGACCAACCGCUCAAGUGCUCCACCACAUCCACAUCCAUGCUGCGUCUGCCUUUGCAUUAAUAGUACAUAUCUACUUAUGUAUGUGUGUGAGUGCAGUGCCGUGAUGAACACCCAGUCGGAUUGGGGUAAGCCGCUAAAGCAUGCGUAACAAUGGCCCCGGCACAUCGAUCGUUAAUGAUCGUUAAGGCAAAGAAGGACCACAGCGAUGAUCGGGCACAUUUCGAAUGCCCAAAGAGUUGGGGGCUCCAUUCAUUGAUCGUUUCAUGGCCCCAAAUGAAGUGCUCGACAGGAUAGGGAUCGUUCUCUUCGAUAUCGGUUUUCAUGAUUACUCUGUAUUAUUUUAUUUUUUUCGUACAUGUGUGUAUUCCUCCAUAUGCCCUUCAUCUUCAUCUUAAGCCUAAAUACAAUGCAAAGCGCUCACAUAAUUAGAAUCUGCAGCCAACAUUUUUGUUAAUCAAUAUAUCAAUAUACAGGGUGCG
Molecule: long non-coding RNA, 1522 nt
Organism: Drosophila miranda
Lineage: Eukaryota; Metazoa; Arthropoda; Insecta; Diptera; Drosophilidae
Exons: 2
Source: RefSeq, a predicted model, not a curated record